UUAAGGUUAUUCUUUGGUAAACUUUUUUUUUAGACCAUUCAUAUUACUUAAGAUGUAUUUUUGUAAAAAUAUACAAUUAUUAUUAUUUUUUUACAUAGGGGUACUAUUUUUAGCUUUAAUGUGGUAUAAAAUCUGCAAUGUUAUCUAGACUAAUUUAAUCCUUAAUUGUAUGCAUUGCACUUUCAUUUAUAUGAUUUAUUUAGAUUUUGAAGUGUAGAGAUAAAAUUGUGUAGUAUCCUUCACAGAAACUAAAAGGUGGUUACUAAGUUUGAUGAUAAAUUACAUUUUUUGGAUUAAUUUGUAAAAUGAAUUAAAUUCAACAUCAAUUUAUUUGUUUUACAUUUA
This 345-nucleotide long non-coding RNA is filed under the name Physcomitrium patens. Its description in RNAcentral is "long non-coding RNA (PPAT_LNC006778)". The record is from RNAcentral. Lineage: Eukaryota; Viridiplantae; Streptophyta; Bryopsida; Funariales; Funariaceae.